GGAAACAACUUAUUUUGGCACCUACUCUAUCUCACAGUCUCAUGUUUUCACAAAUCUCUCUCUAUCUGUUUCUCACGGUCAACAACUCUUCCUUGCACUGAAUUGCAAUGGGAAAUAAAAAGGAUACUCAGAAGGUCAAGGACACCAAGACCAACUUCAGGUGGUCACAACCAAUGUAGAAUUUAUUACUUGAGAUACUUGCAUAUGAGGCUCUUCAUGGAAAUAAGCAAUCCAACACAUUUAAACAUGCAUCAUAUGCUAAAGUAGCUGAAGCAAUUACUGAUAAAUUUAUGACUGAAUGUACUCCAAAGCAUGUGGAACAUUGUUUUAAAACACUCAAAACCAAUUGGAAUACAAUUGCAUUACUUCGUAAUAAGAAAAACGGGUUUGGAUGGAAUGACGAUUUGAAAAUGAUCACCUGUGAUAGGACAGUGUAUGAUGAAGAAGUCGAGGCACAUCCAAAUCAUGCACAAUUUCUAAACAAGAAAAUUGAGAUGUUUGAUGAGAUGGCUUUG
Molecule: long non-coding RNA, 515 nt
Organism: Quercus lobata
Lineage: Eukaryota; Viridiplantae; Streptophyta; Magnoliopsida; Fagales; Fagaceae
Exons: 4
Source: RefSeq, a predicted model, not a curated record